RNAcentral lists this ribosomal RNA (612 nucleotides) under fungal endophyte. Its description in RNAcentral is "eukaryotic LSU rRNA". The stretch from base 178 to 331 matches the Rfam family "5.8S ribosomal RNA". Lineage: Eukaryota; Fungi. The record is from RNAcentral.
AAAGAGUUCUAUAACUCCCAAACCCAUGUGAACAUACCUAACGUUGCCUCGGCAGGUCGCACCUACCUUGUAGCACCCUACCCUGUAGGGCCUACCCGGGAGGUGCGGGUAAGCCUGCCGGCGGCCCACCAAACUCUGUUUGAUAUUGAAUUCUGAACCUAUAACUAAAUAAGUUAAAACUUUCAACAACGGAUCUCUUGGUUCUGGCAUCGAUGAAGAACGCAGCGAAAUGCGAUAAGUAAUGUGAAUUGCAGAAUUCAGUGAAUCAUCGAAUCUUUGAACGCAUAUUGCGCCCAUUAGUAUUCUAGUGGGCAGGACCGUUCGAGCGUCAUUUCAACCCUUAAGCCUUCGUUGCUUAGUGUUGGGAGCCUACGGCAACGUAGCUCCUCAAAGUUAGUGGCGGAGUUGGUUCACACUCUAGACGUAGUAAUUUUUUAUCUCGCCUAUUAGUUGGACUAAUCCCCUGCCGUAAAACCCCCAAUUUAUCAAGGUUGACCUCGAAUCGGUUCAGACAAACUCGCUAAAUUGAAGCAUCUUAGUCAGCGAAGGAAAAGAAACCAACAGGGAUUGCCCUAGUAACGGCGAGUGAAGCGGCAACAGCUCAAAUUUGAA